This is a long non-coding RNA of Mus musculus (house mouse), 16726 nucleotides long. RefSeq annotates it as predicted gene, 34857. Lineage: Eukaryota; Metazoa; Chordata; Mammalia; Rodentia; Muridae. The record is from RefSeq and is a predicted model, not a curated record. The transcript has 4 exons.
ACUGACUAAGCUGUAUCUCCCUGAGAAUCCAGUCAUAAAGCCACAAUUCUCAAUAUUUGAUUCGACCAGCUGUUCUGUGCUCCAGCUGUUUUAUGAUUCACCACAGGAUAGACUUCCUCUGCCUCCCUCAAACUGUGAGCCAACCAUAACUAUUAUAGGAAGGAAGAAGAAAUUGCUUACAGAACAAGAAUACUGAAGGCUGUACUCAUCAGCUUGAUUUUCUUUUCAUUUAUCUGAUAAAGUCAUCAUUCAUUUCUUUGCUCAUUCAGCUGGGAUUCAGUGUCUACAACAUUAAGAGCCCUCUGUGUUCCUGAGGCAAGUGCUUAAAGAAUAUCAACACUAAAGGAUGAUAGAGUGAAGAAUACGUGUCAGCGAUCAUACUAUCAAAUAGAACCAAUUGCAGCCACCACCAACCUUUUUAUCCUCUGAGGAAAAGAAGUUUCUAUGAAUGCUUAACCUAUGGAUACAGAGACAACUCAAGGUUUUCGAGACUCGGCUAUCUAUCAACAGAGGAGAAACGCAAACGCUAAAAGGGAGGACCUCGAAGGGAUAAACAAGAGGAAAGCAAGACAUAGACUACCCAUCAAAGACACCAGCCUGGGUUUCCAAAGUCUCUAUAGGAUUGGCCUUAAGCAGCACACAAGAAUACAUUUAUUAUGUUACUCCCCCCCCCCCACAUUCUAUCUCUUCCUAAGAAUUAUCAAGAAUGAUAUUUCAGAAGGUUAAAAACCAUCUAGGUAGGUACGCAAAUAUGCAAAGUGGAUAUCUGCCUAAGCAGAGAAGGUGAAGGGCCCAGUGGAGAAUCCUUGGCCACAGGACAUUUGGUUUACAGGCUUGCCUGGAACAUCAUAAUAGCUUGCUGAGAGGCUAGCCUUUGCACCACCAGAGUUCAGGCCACAGCAUGGCACAAAGAUCAAGUUUAGAACUGCGGUGACCACUAACAAUGGUGUCGAAGGAGCAAUCGAGAGGUAGACAGUGUGGUAUGCUGAAAUUGCAUGUACUCCAACCACUGAGCUACAUGUAUUUUCAAAGUUCAUUUUACAGGCUUCUUUUAAUAUUAUUAUGGCUACUAGAAAUUUCAAAACCCUCUACAUAGUUUUGUUUUUGUUUUUGUUUUGUUUACAUCAUGGCUGCUGACCACCAGAGGGCUCAGUCACACAAUAGCCCAGCCUCACUUUUGGGAUCAAAAGAACCAGGCUCUACACAGAGCAAUCACAGGAUACAGGCAUCUCUGUAGAGAAGAGAGAAGGGAUGAAAGGGACAGGUUUAGCUACAAAUCAACCUCAUCCUAAGAGGGAGAAAGUCUGUGCUCCACUGAGUUCCUUCCUGUGAGACUCGGGGAGUCCAAGAAAAUGGGGAGUAUGGCAGAAGACAGUUGGCUAAUGUGUCACCCCACCAAGGACCCAUACCGUCCACGUUGUUCGGUUGUUUUCCAUUUCUUGUAAUACUCAUUCACAGCUUAGGGUCUGCCCUAGUUAAUUCUUAUUGUCUACUUGGCACAACCUAGAGGAACCUGGGCAUUGAUUUUUUUUUCCCUUGAUCAGAUUGGCCUGUGGCCAUGUCUGCAAGAGACUGUCUUAAUUGGUAAUUCAGGUGGGAGGAGGGCUCAGCCUAUUGUGGCAUGCCCACUGCAGGGCAGGUGGUCCUGGGAUGUUUCAGAAAGCUAGCUGAGCAAAAGCCAGCCAGAGAGUGAGCCAAUAAACUACCUCCGAGUUCCUGCUUUAAGUUUACACAUUGCCUCCUUUCAGUGAUGGACUGUAUUCUGGAGGUCUAAAGAAAAGAAACCCUUUUUUACCCAAGCUACUUUUGGUCAUAGUAUUUAACCAGAGAAACAGAAAGCACACUGAGACAGUGACCUAGUCGGAGCCAUUUGCUCUCUACCAGCUGGUGCUUCACCAAGGGCUCCUUCCAGUCUCUCCCAUAACUCCUGGCAUGAUAAGGGACUUUGAUACCCUGGAGCUUCUGCUUUGGAGUUCUGGUUAUACCACGAAUAAGUAGCAUUAGAGCAGCAAAUACCUCUCUGCAGAGAUUUUGGCAGUUAACUCAGGCCCAAAACUACUGAACUAUUCCAGAAACGAGCAGAAUGCAGCUUGAAAAUCUUAUCUAUUGCCUGCUAAAGCACUAAAGGCUCCUAAGCCCCAGAUACAGUGUCAGUUUCCUUUAAAAGCCUGAAUUUCCACAGCCCUUGCUCUCUGAAAAACAUCAACUGUGCUCAAGAGACUCACUACAUGGCCAAGUCAACAGAGCUCCACUAGCCAAGACAAUCACUAGCCUAGUAGGAAUAGAACGAUUCCUUAAGUAAGAGAUAUCAAACACAAGUUGUCCCUAGCUGUGCAUCAACAUAAAUUAUGUUUUGGCAGAACCACAUCACCUGGUGUUUGCUGUGAAGCUUUUCUUUACAUGAAGUCUUACUGAAAAGCAGCAAGACAGGAAUUUUCCAGAUGGUUAAGACUUUGUGCUAUACAAUCCUCUGUGGGUCGACCUUCUAUAUUUUUUUAAAUUAAUGAAGAAAAAAUAAGAUAUGUAUUUUCUUGGGGAAGAUGGUGAACUCAUCACAUCUGAAGACUGUUUAAUUUCAGAAAAUGCCCUCAGCAGAGGAGUCUCUUGCAAAGACCUCAUCCUUAGCUGCUGAGACUAACCUGCCACAAAGAAUUCCGAGCUCUUUAGUUCAACUCAGAGCUCAGAACGAGGCGAGCAGUAACAGUACUCGGUCUUAAAGGCAAGAAGCAAGACUCCUGGCUGUCCCAAAAUCAGUGGGUGAAGAGCCACCAGGAAAAUCAUAUAAGUGACUACCCAUGAAUCAGCAGGUUGGAUUUUUGAAAAUGUGUGUGUGUGUGUUUGUCUGUGCAUGUGUGUGUGUGUUAUAUGUUGCUGUGUGAUUUGCACAUGAAUAUAAGUGUGUGUUCCAUAGCAUGUAUAUGGAUGUAUCCUUGUCUUCUGCCUUCAGACAUGGUCUCUUAUUUUGCCAUCACUUGUGACAGGCCACCUGGCCCAUAAGUUUUCAGGAAUUCUGUAUCUGCCUCCCAUGCUACUGGAAGGGCUCUGAGAGGACAGACAGUUUGUAGCUGAUUUCUUGGGGUUAGAACUCACUUUUGAAGUAUAUAUUUACCGACUCAGCCUACAUUGCUUUUUAUGCAGGAUCUUGCUGUACUGCACAGGGUGGCCUUGAACUCCUAGGAUAAGCAAACCUCCCACCUCAGACUCCUGAGUAGCUGGAACUAUAGGCACACACCUCCAUGCUUAGCGUCAGCUGUCUGAAGUUACACAGAAGUGGACGCUGAGAAGACAUCUGCCUUGUGGUGGACAGCAUUUUAGAAGGCAGAACAAAGAACUGGAAGGCAGAAUCUUUAGCUGAAAGUUACCAGGAAAGCUCACCAGCCUCUACGGAAGAUUUCACUUGCAUGCCUGAUGACUUGACAGGUCAUCCAAGCCAUGAGAAAGUGAGACCUCAUCCCUGAGAGGUGCCUAUCACAUAGAAAGUGUUUGUGUUUGCUUUGUCACAGAACAUAGAACACAAUGGCUUGUGAGGUAAGAAAGCAUGCCUAGUACUGGGUGCUUAUGAAAGAGUUUUCUCGAGGACCUUAGUAAACUCUCCAGUCCCUCACACUGCAGCAGCUUGACCUUGGCAUUUAGCUGGUGCAUUUUGCUUCAAUGCCAACUGUUCCCCUAUACUAACUAUGACAGACCCUGUUAGGUGCCUUUUCUCAACAUUGUUUCUAUUUGCUAGCAGAGCUUUAUAUCAGACACAUAUUUCUAAGCAUCCAGGAAACAAGAGGCUUUUUAAUAGGAUCUGGGCAGGAAACUGGGAGGUAUGAGGUAGGGAUCGGCAAUGGGACUUCUGAGAUUUCUCUCUUUUAAAGGAGGCUGGCAAAGAAGUCUCACUUUCAUUCUCUGUAUUAGCUCCAAGCUCUAACAAUGAUCACAGUGGUGCAAAACACCAGGACUUGAUUUUUUUCACAAGUUGAACAGACUGAGGUCCAAAGUCAGUGUCACGGGGUCAAUAGCAAGGCAUCACCAGGGUCAGACUUCCUCCAGUGUGCCUGGGGGGGAAGGCAUUCUAUGUCUCUUGUGGUUUCUGUGGCCACUGGCAUUGCUUAGCGUCCCUCCACAUCAGUUUCUGUUCCGUAUCUGUGGCCAUACUACCUUUUCCUCUUCUGCAGCCAAGUUUCUCUUUGGCUCCCUCUUGUAGAGUAUGUCUCUCUAGUGUCCACAGCCUCAGAUAGUGCCUUUACACGUUUCCCACAUAUAGUAUCAUCCACAGGUGCCAGGGACGAGGAUGUACUGACUCCCCAACAAAAGAGUGGGUGCCUCCAGCUUGUGUCAGCCAAGCUUAGGUAGACAAGCCAGGAUGUAAGAAUAGAAAAAAGGCUCACAGCUGUGGCUUGGUGGCAUGUGCUGCUCCUGACAUAAUUAAAUGUGGCGCUAUCUCUCUUUGAUUGAUUUUUUUAAAGGAACUUUUAAUUUAAAAAAAAAACUUAUAGGUUAUUUUUUAUUGUAUUUCUCCUCUCCCAAUUCCUCCCAGGUCCCUACCCACUUAACUUCCCUCCCUCUCUCUUUUUCUCUCCUUCUCUUCUUCUUUCCCUCCCUUCCUUCCUACAUAAAACAAAACACUAUAAAAUGAUAGCCCCAGAGCGUGGUUGAUAUACGCAGUGACAUUCCACUUGGAGAAAACCCAUUUUCCCUUUGCCGGCAAGUAUCAGUUGCAAAUAGAGUCUUGGUUAGGAGUUGGGCCCCGUGUCCACUUGUCCCUCUCAGUGCUGAGACUCCAUGUGGCAUGAACCCACACAUGGCCCCAUGCAUGCUAUCACAGCCUCUGUGAGUUCAUAUGUGCAUCUGUCCUGUUGUAUCUGGAAGACACUGUUUCCUUAGAGUCAUCCAUCAACAGUGGCUCUUACAAUCUUUCUGCCUCCUCUUUCACACAGAUGCCUGAGCCCUGAGGGAAGGGGUUUGAUGAAGACAUCCCAUUUAGGACUGGGUGGUCUGAAGUUGUGGGUCUCUGUGUUAGUUCCCAUCUACUGCAAGGAGCAUCUCUGAUGAUGACUGAAUACACAGCUCUAUGGGCAUAUCAAUAUAUCACUAGGGGUCACGUCAAUGCUAUGCUUUUUUAGCAGAAUGAAAAGAGUAGGUUUUCCCCUAGGCCCAUGACCUAUCUACUGUAGGUUCUUAACUGAUUUUAAAUGAAAUUUUAAAACAAUGUCAUUAGGGGCUGGAGAGAUGACUGAACAGUUCGUAGCACAGACUGCUUUAAGAGAGGACCAAAGCUUGGUUCACUGUAGACACAUCAGGCAGCUUAUAAACACCUUUUACUCUACCUCAAAAGGAUCUGAUGCCCUCUCCUGGCCUCUGACACCUCCUGCACUCAGGCACACGUACCCUUGGUCCACGUAUAGACAUAAUAUAAAGAAAAAAUCUUAAAAUAAUAAUCUGAUUUUUAAAGCUACUUUGAACAUGGCAUUAUUUGUGUUUUAAUACUUGUUAUUGAAUACAACUAAAAUUUUAAACCUAAUUAAGAUAUUAUAGAAAAUGCCCCCAUAGAUAAGGACAAAACGGUCACACCUGCACUUAUUCUCACAAAGGAUUUUCUGAUUCACGAAAUUUACCUUUUGUGUUAUAUUCUGCUUUAUAAUGCUCCAUAAUUAAUAUAAUAUAAUGCUUCAGUUCCGAUUAUCUGGGUAAAAUAGGUCAUUCAAUGAACUCAGUGUUGCUAAAUCACGUGGCUCUUCAGGGACAUGGCUAGGACAGAGGAAGCUUUCAUUAAACUACCAACUACUUGGCCAAUCGUAAUAUCAACAUCUUUAAUUAAAAGAAAUUGUAUUUGUAGUAUUCAUUGGAAAAAUGCCAAGUACUAGUAAAAUCCGACAAUUUAAUCCCUAUUGUAAGCCUUCUUGUUCUUUCAUAUUUUGCCAGCACCCAAUUUCUAAAACAACAACAACAAAAACAACUAGUACCUGAUCCUGUGUGCUUACUUUGUGACUAAGAAAACAACAUCACAGAGUAGGAAAAUUAACUUAAAUCUAAAGAACUUAUAUCUAGAAAUCUUACAAAUGCUUAAAUUUGGGAGUCAAGGUGACUUUUCCAGAAAGUUUAUGUCCAGGAAAUCGACCAAUAGCAAAGUUGAUUGUGUUGAGUCCUGCAAAUGUGUUUGUCUGGACAGUUUACUUAAAUGGAGCAUUAGCCUUCCUAUUCAGACAGGACAAUGACAGUCACCAAGAAGACAAACAGCUAAUGCUGGUGAGGUUAAGUACAAAUGGGAAUAAUUAUACACUAACAGUGGGGAUAUGAGCUAGUCGGCUGGUGUGGAAAUAACUGUAGUGUGUCAAAAGAAAUAGAUUCUACCACAUGACGCAGUCGUCUCACUCUUGGGUAUUCAGUCAAACGACUCAUUCAAGGGACUCCAGCAUAUCACAGAGACUAUAGCACCAUUCAUAAUAGUUAAGUGACAGAGCCAACCCAGGUGUCCAACAACAGAAGGAUGAUGAUGGUGGUGGUGGUGGUGGUGGUGGUGGUGGUGGUGGUGGUGGUGGUGUGUGGUGUGUGGUAUAAAAGAAGUGAAACUGCCUAGAGUGACAGAGGAGUGUUUGGAGUGAGGGAUUGACGAGAGUAGAGGAUCAUGCCCAACAUACAGUGUAAAUAUAUUACCAUAUCUCAUGUAACACUGCACCAUGUACAAUAAAUAUAUACCAUACAAAUUUAUAGCAAGAAAAAAAUUGACUUUACAGUGGCUUCCACAGUCCACUUUCUUCAUUGUCUCAAAAGUAUGUUUAAGGACUGGACAGAUGGACCAGCAGUUAAGAGCAUUCACUGCCCUUGCAGAGGCCUGGUGUUCAGUUCAGUUCCCAGCACCCACAUCAGGAGGCUCAGAACUGCCUGUAACUCAAGCUUCAUUGAGUCUAUGCCCUCUUCAGGUCUAUGUGGGCACCUUGCCCCAUACACAUGUGUAUACAUAAACAAUGAAACAAACAAACAAACAAACAAAUAAACAAGCAAACUCUUCUAAAAAUAUAUUUAAAGUCCCCAUUCCUCUGUUUCUGGAGCAAGGGUUAGGCACAUUCCUCAUUUUCAGUUACCUAUAAUAUAUCAAAACUAUGUCUGUAUGAUCCCAAAGAAACUAUAGAUUGCACAGUAGGAUUGCUAGACUAAUCAGAUCUUCUGCAAGUUCUUUAUACCAAAGUCCACAGCUAGAAAUACACUUGACUUGAGAAUCAACACUCAAGUAUCUAUAUAUGCCUUUGGUUUACAUGCAGGUCCUGGAUGGAGACCUUUUUCCCAAAAGCAUCUGCCCUUGCUACAUUUGGUGUACUCUGCUCAUUUCUAUUCUGAUUCAAGAUAGCUCAGAGAUUAAGGGUGCUUUCUGUUCCUGCGGAUCUGAGUUCGGUUCCCAGUACCUAUAUACAGUGGGCUCACAACCAACCAUAAUUCCAAUUUUAGGACAUCAGAUUUCUUCUUCUGGCCUCCAUGUCAUUCACAAACAUGUCACUCACACACAUAUACAUAUGCACACACAGAAAUAAAUAAAUGAAUAAAUAAAUAAAUAAAUAAAUAGAUCUUCUUUUAAAAGCAUAGUUGACAGUCAUUACAUAAGAUUUAACUACCAAUGAAUUGUGAUUCCCCACAUUGAAAAAUAGUCUCAGAAUUAGGACAUCAAAUGAAAUGGUAGCUAGCACUUUAAUCUGUCCUUGGACUUUGGAAUCCCAGGCUUACCUUUGUGUACAUUUCCAUCUAGAAAAGUCACAGGUCCAAAGUUCCUCAGGCUGAAUUGAUUUCAUGGCAGACUGUUAGGUCAGAAGGUGCAGAAAAACAACCACAAACCCCACCAGGGUGGUGCCAAGAGAUGCGCACUGGACAAAGCACUUGCCUAACAAGUGUGUGGAGCAGAGUCCACAUACCCAGAGAACAUAUGGAAAAUGCUUUGCAGAUGUGGCAGAGUUGGUGAAGCUGAGAGGAAAUUGCUGGGACAUGAUUAGCUAACUCAAUGGAACUGGUGAGCUCCAAGUUCAGUAAGAGUCUCUAAAUAAAUGAAUUGAAGAAUGCAAAUGACAUCAUCCUUUGACAUGUACACAUAUAACACACACACACACACACACACACACUGAAAAACACUAACGAAGCAUGGCUUUAUUCCCAGACUUCCUUGGAGAACUUCUCAUGGAGGAUUGGAAAACCCAAAGCCAGGGGUUACCCUCUGAUCUUGCAACACAUUUUUAUUUAUUUAUUUUAAUUACAUCCCAAUGUUGCUCCACUCCCAGUCUCCACUCCAAGAGUUCUUCACCCCAUCCCUCCUUCACUUCACCUCUAGAGGGGUGUUCCCCCAGGGUAUACCCCUUCCCUGGAGCACCAAGUCUCUACAGGGUUAGGUGCAUCCUAUCUCACUCAGACUAGAGAAGGCAGUUCUCUGCUACAUAUGUGCUGGGGGCCUCAGACCAGCCCUUGUAUGCUCUUUGGUUGGUGGCUUAGUCUUUGGGACCUCCCAGAAUUCCGAGUUAGUUGACCCUGUUGGUCUUCCUAUAGGGUUGUAAUCUCCUCCAGCUUCUUCAAUUUUUGCCCUAACUCUUCCAUAGUGGUCCCUGACCUCGGCCCAAUGGUUGGCUUUAAGUAUCUGCAUCUGUCUCAGUCAGCUGCUGGUAGAGCCUCCUAGAGGAUAGCCAUGCUAGGUUCCUGUCUACAAGCACAACAUACUUUCCUGUGGAUAAUGAGGCAAAUGAAAAAGAAACUUGUUCAGGUCUUGUGGUAACUGGAGAAGCAUGACUCUCCAACUCCUCCCAUUUGAGGACCUUGACAAUAUCUCUUGAAGACACCUUACUGGAGGAGGGGUGAUUCUGUUUCAGUCAAGAUAGCCAGCUGGCUUUCUACUGUGGGUGACUAUAAACACCUUCUAGCAAUAUCAGUCAGAGAAGAAAAACCAUUCUCCUGGUCACCUUGGAACCACAGUGGAGAGAAUUCCCAUAAGAUUCAAAAGAUUGAGAGUUGAUACAGGGGAUGUGUGAAGUUCUGUUGAAGAACAGAAGUACAGAUAAAGUUGGGAAGCCAACUUUCACAAUUCCAUCACCAACAGAACACUGCAACUGCUUUUCAGAGACAGACUCCCCUAGCUCAUCAUUCUCAAAUAGAAUGAUGGCUGAACCAUUGCCAUGGACACAAGCAGAAGUGACAGAACCUGCAUCCUGAAGAUGAUGGAGGGCCUCUGCUCUUCAUAAUGCAAACCAAGAGAGAGGAAAUGGCCAACUGCACCAAAGCAUGGGAAUUCACCUUGUCCAAACCAAAGCAUCAUGUUAAUGAUAAAGACACUGGGGGACUAUACAAACACAAAAGACAAGUAUAUGCACUUAUGGCUUAUAAAUUACUCGGCAGCUGCUGAGGCUGGACAUCCUUCAUGCUCCCCUCAAACACUUAACGGCCUUAAGGCUACAUUUAUAUCUCUCUUGGGACUAAUGAGGGUUAUGGAUAGGAAAGAACACAGCAUAACUUUCCUUACAUUAGUGUUCCCAACAAUCCCCCUUGCAGGAUGAUAGUGUUAGCAGGUAGGGUCACAAAUACAAACAUAGAACCCAUCCCCAAAGGAAUGCAGAACUCUGUGAUGGUCCCAGUGGGAAGACAUUUUACCCUGGACUAAAUACCCAUUCCUGCAAGAAGAGAUAAGAAGGUCUACUAAUACAGGGAAAAAAUAUUGAGCAUUGUGGGGAGCUAGAUUGACCCACGGUUUUCCCAGAGGCCCUGAUGAAAAGACAAAGGGAACUGUAGCUCUGUGUCCUUGGCUAAGUGCAAGUUUGGCCAUCCUGAUCUGAGAAUGAAGCCAGUGCCUGGAAGGAGAGAAGGCGUCAAGUGUUGUGUUUUCUGUGGACUCGACUCUGACUGUGGGCUGUGUUUCUAAAGCAGCUGUGUCUGAGGUAGCCUGCAUUCUCUUUGCUGGCAUUUGUCGGACUUCACUCUCUACUGACCUUGGUCACUUUCCCUCUGCAAAUAGUAUAUAGGAUGUUACACUUCUUAAUAAUCUUGCUUGGCAUAAAUCAUCAGUUUAUGGAAGACCUCCUGGUCCCAGGUAUUGUUUUUAUCUUCCUUUUUAUCUUUUCUAUCUUUUCUCAAUCCUAGGUCUUCCUACUCAACACCUUGACAUUCUGAUGCCUGUAUUCUUGCAGUUUCUGGUCAGAGCAUGGAUACAGAACUCUCUAUCAUAGCUCACACUGAUGUAGGGAGAGGAACAAGGAAUGGCCAACGGAUUCUAGAAGUUUUUUUUAAUAGUUUUUUUUUUGGGGGGGGGAGUGAUACAGGGUUUCUCUGUAUAGCUCUGGCUGUCCUGGAACUCACUUUGUAGACCAGGCUGGCCUCAAACUCAGAAAUCCACCUGCCUCUGCCUCCUGAAAACUGGGAUUAAAGGCAUGCACCACCAUGCUCGGCCGGAUUCUAGAAGUUAACAGAUCAGAAAAUGCUAACUCAAUUAUCUGAGAGUCACCCAGUGAGAUUUACCAGGAAGCAGCAGAACUCUAGAUAGUACUUAAUAUGUGGUCAGGUUUCCAUUGCUGUGAGAAAACAUCACAACCACAAGCAACUUGAGGAAGAAACGAUUUGUUUCGGCUUACAGCUUGUUGUCUGUCACCAAGGGAAGUCAGGGCAAGAACCCAAGGCAGGAGCCUGGAGGCAGGAACUGAAGCAAAGGCCAUGGAAGAAUGCUUCUUACUGGCUUCCUCCCCAUGGCUUGCUCAGACUGCUUUCUUAUACCACCUAGGACCACCAGCCCAGGAUUGGCACUGCCCACAGUGAACUGGGUCUUCCCAUAUCAAUCAAGACAAUACACAAAAGACUUGCCUACAGGAGAAACUUUUGGAGGCAUUUUUUUUUCAUUUAAGAGUCCUUCUUCCUAGAUAUGUCUAGGUUUGUGUCAAGAUGGCAAAAAUGAACCAGCACUCUCAUGCGCUGUCACACACACUGAAGAGUCUCAGGAGUCAGGUCUUGGACAGGAGCAUGAGGGAGUUGCAUUGGGUGACAGCACUACCCUGAAAGCCUAGCUAGGACCUUGUUCUGCAGGGAUCUUCAGGGAUCAGACAUUGAUUGCCCCUGGUAAGAGUUCACUUCUGAGCUAUAGAAAAUUAGAUCUCCUCCAUGAUGCAUUUCAUCAUGCAGUAUUUACCUGUAAGAGGUCAUCCUGGAGGAAGUGAAUUUUCUGAACAUAAUUUGGGGAUGUAUGAGAUUUAAUUACAGAGGCCUGUAUGCUUUUCAUGUUGAGAAAGAAUGUAUAGUCUGAUUUUACUCAUCCCUCUCCUAGUGCAGUAAUAAAUCACCAGGACCAAAGACAAGUUAUAGAAGAAAGAGUUGGUUUUGGCUUGCAGGACCAGAGGGUUAAGAGCCUGUCAUGGUAAGAGUCAUGGCAGUGAGCAGCAGACAUGGUGACAGGAGCAGGAAGCUGAGAACCCACAUCUACAAACACAAGAACAAAGUAGAGAGAGUGAAACUGGAAGUAGGCUGAGGAUUUAAUCUCAAAUCCCACCCCCAGUGACACACUUCCUCCAGAAAGGCUGUACUACCUAAACCUCCCCAAAGGGUGCCACCGGCUGGCCUCCUGUGGACAUUAGCCUGAAUUGAUGAGUAUAUAGAGAGACAUUUCUCAUUUAAAUAACCAUAGUGAUGGACUCACAUUCACCUCUCUCUCUCUCUCUCUCUCUCUCUCUCCUUGAAUUCAUUUUAAGUAGAAAAUUUAAAAGAAAGACUAUUCAUGGAAAGACAUACAACAUACAUUCCGUCUUUAGUCUUUUGUGUUUGUCUAGACACUUGCGAUGCAUUCAUGCAGUCAUACACAUGUGAGGAAGUGCAAUACACAUGUGUGGGCAUGCAUGUGGAUGCCAGAGUGACGAGGUCAGGUAUUGCUAUUCUGGCACUGUUGAUUUUACUCUGAGGCAAGGUCUCUUAUCGGCCUAGCCAUCACUUCAUGGACUAAGCUGGCUGGCCAGCAAGCUCUGGGGAUCACUGCUUCCCCAUUACUGUGAUUACAAGCAUGUGAUCCCUUGCCCAGAUUUAUUAAAGUUUAGACCUUUCUGCUUACAAGUUGAGUGUUUUACUAGAUGGGCUUUCUGCCCAGCCCUGCAAAGUUUUCUGUAAUCAGAUCCUAGCCACAGCUUCAUGAAUGUGGGAUAGCAGUCCUCCCUCAUAUUGAGAAAUUAUGUGUGGCUUGUAAAACCUUCCCCUAGGGUUUAACCCACUUCCCUUGCUCAAGAAAUACUGAGCUGAGCAUAUGCCUCGUUCCAGGUCAUGGUGGGUGUUAAAGACUCUUUGGUCUCUGCCCUCUGAAAAUCUGUAGACAAGCGGAGGAGGCAAGAUAUAGCCAGAGGCUAACAUUGCUAGACAACAGAUGGCUCAGAACAGGCGCACUGGAAAGCAAUAGACCCACGUGUAGGCAGAGGCUUCAGGGCUCUCAGCUCUGUGGCUUGGCAAGAUGUUGACCUUGCUAAAUCUACCUUUGUCAUUCAUAUAAAAGUUAACGACAGAGCCUACCGCACAGGUCUCUUAUACAGAUAACAAAGUAAAUGUGCUGUGUUCCUGUUGCUAAAACUUGAGGCGUACUAGACAGGUUUAUCUGGUUCAGGGUUUCAGCUAUGGGAAGUCCAUAGCACUUGACACUGAAGUGAAGGUCCAGGUUGUCUAAGUCAAUGGAAGGUGGCAUUAUGAGGUGGCAUGUCUGUGAGAGGGAGUGGUUGCAGGUGAGGCAGGACCUUGCAACUAGAGUGAACUACAUUGACCCUUCCUAAGGAUGUAGAUAACCUCUCACUGAGAGAGUUCUACCUGGAAAGGGUAACCACUGCUUAAUAUUGUCACCCGAAGGACCAAAAUUCCAAUACAUGCAACCUUGGCCGACACUCUCAAACUAUGUCCAACCUAGGAACUAGGAGCAUGACUCAGUGUGUAGACCUAAGUUUAGAUCUCUCAUACCACAUAAGGGUAAUGUAGCAUGUGUCUCUAAUUCCAGCACUAGGGAGCAAUGUGUGUGUGUGUGUGUGUGUGUGUGUGUGUGUGUGUGUGUGUGUGUGUGUGUGUGUGUGAGCCCUGGGGCUUUCUGGCUAGCUAGUGUAACUGUUUGUCUCAGAAAGUAAUGGGGAAAAUCCUAGAAGAAGACAUUUGACAUCAGCCCCUGGUGUCUUCAUAUGAACACACAGGAACACAUACAGCAGGUACCUAUGCAAACACAUACAUGUGCCUUCAAAAGUAAAGUUCAUUUUUAAAAGAAAGAAAAAGAAAACACACAGGCUAGGGGAAUGGCUCCUUGGUUAAAAACAUUUGCAGAGGAUCCGGAUCGGGUUCCAGCAUCCACAGGGUGGCUCACAACUCUGCAACUCCAGAUCUAGGGGAUUGGAUGCCCUCUUCUGGACUUGACAGACACCAGACACACAUGUGGUAUAUUUAUAUACAUGCAGGCAAACAUCCACACACAUACCUCAGUCCUCAUGUAAAAUCUUAGCUCAACCACCAACCACCAACAAGCAGGGACUGGACCUAGCCCCCAGCUCCCCCCGCACAUAUGUGGCAGAUGUGCAGCUUGGUCUUCUUGUAGGUCCCCACCAACUGGAGCUGGGGCUGCCCAUUGCCUGCCUGGAGAUCCCAUUCCCCUAACUAGGCUGCCUUGUCUGGCCUCAGUGGGAGAGGGUGCAUCUAGGCCUGCAGUGACUUGGUGUGCCAGGCUGGGUUGAUAUAAGGGAUACUCCGCCUUCUCAGAGGGGAUGGGGAAGGGGAAUGGGGGGAGGGCCAUGUGCAGAGGGUACCUGGAGGAAGGGAGGCUGUGAUAAAGAUGUAAAGUGAAAAAAUUUAGUUAAUUAAUUAGUUAAUUAAUUAAACAAAAGAAAAAUGAUAAAAUGAAAAUAACUUAGCUACUGCAUAGACUUAAGUAAGAACUUAGCAAUUAUGUGUCAACAGCAGCGUCAAAUGCUAAGGAAACACACAGAAGAGUAGGAAGGAAACUCCUAGAGAAGGAAGCGCCAGAACGAGGAAGGGCAGCAACCUGAAUGCUGGGUCUCAUUCUGGGGCCAAUUGAUGCCCUCAGUGGACAUUUAUCGACCUCUAAAGGCAUCUUCAACUAUAAUGAUCACAGGAUGGAUGCCGUGCAAAACCAAGACAGCAUGUCCCCGACACGUCACCAAUCCUGUAGUCGUGGUCCCACAGAUAAUAACUUAGAUUAAAUUUAAAAUGUAAAAUUCAAAAGAACAACUAUAAACAUGUUCAAAGGACUCAAAGAAGUCCUGAAAGAGGGAAAAGGAAAAAAAGUCAGGAUGAACUUAGAAAGGAUGGGAAUGAAUUGGUUGAAUUCGUAGAAAACACAAAGAGAUUAAAGAAAGGGAAAAUCCAAUUCUUAUCCAAUGGCUAAUUCCAGACCCAUCGUCACACAGAAGGCCUAGUUAAACCCUGUGGGACAAAAAAAGAUAAAUUUAAAAUGUAACGACUAUGGGAAGAUAUUUGUGCAGAAGAAGAAAGGCUUUCAGGAUUGGGAAAAAAAUAAGAGGUGGGUAGGUAGGUAAGGGAGAAUAACAGGAAUGGUGUGUGUGUGUGUGUGUGUGUGUGUGUGUGUGUGUGUGUGUGUGUGUGUGUGUAAAAGCACACACAUCCAUGCAGAGAAAAGAGGAGGGAAGUCAGGUUUCCUGUUCUGUAAAUCUCUACCUCAUUCCUUUGACCUAGGCAGACAGCUAGCAAGCUCUAGGGGUCCUCUUGUCUCUGGCCACAACACGAGGGGUACAGGCUUGAAUGACUACACCUGGAUUUUUUUUUAACUUGGAUGCUGGGUAUUUGAACUUAGGUCCUCACACCUGAGCAGCAAGCCCUCUUAUCCACUCAGGUAUCCCACACCCCAUCCCUUUAAACUCUAUUCUUUUUGUGCUCCACAAAAACAGUAAGCCAAGAUGAUCAUUCUCGGUUCCAUGGGGUUCUAGUAACUUUCCUUCAUAUAACUUCUCUCCAUUAUUUUGGCCUAGUUAGGCUAGUGUGAUUUAAAAAUAAGGCACACAUAAAGAUGAAGCAUUCUAAGAUGCCACUGGUGGCAGUGAGGAUACAGUAGGGAAGAGGCAGAGCUGGAAAGAGCCAGGGUCUAGCAUCUCAUAUGGCAACUUCUUUUGUCUUACGUUUUAUUUCAACUUCACCUCCAUUUUCUAGAAUUAUAUCCCUGACAGCCCCCAAGAUACUCCUCUUCAACUUUCUCAAGAACUAUUAUGAUAAAGUUUUAUAGUUUCUUUCUGCUUCAAGGCACCGCAGGCUAAUGGUCUAUGCUUGAAUGGUCUCCAGAUGGAAUGAAAUCCAUACCUGUGUUCCAAUAAAAAAUGCUAUUCUAGACUGUUAAAUCUUCUGACUGCCUCUUUAGACUCUCGGCUGCGGAACUUGGCUUUCUCUGUGUUUGCAUCUUAACAGGGUUCGUUUGAUCACUGGUGUGUUUACACUGAACAGAGGCUGUCUGUGAAAGAAAAAAAACUAUAAACAUGGACAAGCCACAGGAUGGGUGAGUUGAGUUUGGGACAUGUUUUAAGCAGCAAGGUUGAUUUGGUCUUUGAUUAUGUUCCAUUCAUUCUCUGCCUUUUUUAAAAAAUUAUUUCUGGGGAUACUAGCAAAGCUUGCUAGGAGCAGGCAUUAUAUUUUGAGUAGCUCUUGUUACAUAGAAACAUGGCCCAGGUUAGCCUGAAGUUAGCUGUCUUCUUGUCUCAUCUUCUGUGCUUAGCCUAUUGGUAUGUCCAUGCCAGUUUUCUUCUCACUUCUUUUUCUUAUGUGGUAUUCUAUUCCUAAAACUAAUUUCAUAUAUUUAACUUUUAGUAAAACUAAAAUUACUAAAAGCUUUGAUAGCUAUGAUUAUUUAUUAAUUAAAACAAGACAAAAGUCAGCAUGUAAAAAUAAACUUUUAUUUACAGUCACUGUUUAUAGAUAGUAUAGACUCAUAUGAAUUCUUUUUAAUUCUCAACAAUUUUUCAUGAUUCCAUUUUGACUGCAGGUACAAAAUACAACUUUGCUAGCCUGACUGACUACUAGGCUGACUUUUCAACAACUUUAUAAUCUUGUUGGGGACAGACAAAGGACGGUGUCUUAAGUGCGACCCUUUUGACUUCAGACUCCAUUUUACCUACGCUGACCAACUCCCUUUCUACGUAACAAGAGCUACUCAAAAUAUAAUGCCUGCUCCUAACAACAGAAAGAGCAAAUUAACUGGCUUGUUUGGGCAAAGCACUUAGAUUUAAUGACAGUUGAAAAAGAUAGAACACUUGGGAAAGUCCCUAGUCCCUGAGUUUCUGACUGGUAAAUAUUAUAACUGUAACUUGGCUUAGAUGCUUGUGGAUUUUAUGCUUAUAAGCCAUCUUCAGCCUCUACUAGGGGUUGCCAGAAUACACAGCGCUCCUGGGUCCUUAUCUGGUGGCCCUGAUCUAUUAGAGACCACACUUAUGUGGUGUGCUGAGUCCUUAUCUGGUGGCCCUGAUCUAUUAGAGGCCACACUUCCGUGGUGUGACUAGUAAAAGAUUUUGCUGUUUCACAAGCCCACUGAUGUAUCCUCUUCCCUUUCUCGUGGUGCACAUGGUAUAACAAUCUUACCUCUUAUUGUUCCUGACACAGACUGAACUCUCCCGGUGAUUAUGAGCCAAACACAGGCUGUCCGUUCCUGAAUCUAUUCCAUCAGACAAAUCAAUCCCAUAUCCCAGACACACUUCAGAUAAUUCCACUAAAAAUAAAAUGAUUUACUAGAAAGCUGUAGUGAAUACUUCAUUCCCAGAUGUGGCAAACU